CCUAGGUUGUUCUGAAUCUAAAUGGUUCAUCUCUUGCAGAAGAGCGGUUGGUUUAUUUCAGUGUUUGAGACCAGGUGCUCCCAAUGGAAACAAAAAAAUCCUUAAAAGUGGAAGAAGGUGGUAGGAAAGGUUAGAGUGAUACCAGGAGAACUCAAUCGACCACUACUAGCUUUGAAGCUGGAAGAAUGCGGCUUUGAGUCCUGGAGUGUGGACGGCCUGCAGAAGGAAGCAGGGGUUCCACACUGGCACCUCUAGAAAAUAAUGGAGCCCAGCGAGAGUCAAGUUGGACUUCUGACCUACGAAAGAGUAAGAUGAUGAAUUUAUAUUGUUUAAACCACAAAGUUGGUGGCAAUUUGUUAUAGGAGCAAUAGAAUAUCAAUACACUGUAGCCUCUGUGUGGGGGAUGAACUGGACCAUCUAAAAGUACGGGAAGUACAGUUAGGUUGUUCCUAUGAUUUUAUGAUUCAGGGAAAGUGGUGGUCUAGACAAUAGAGAACAGUGAAGAUGGUGGGAAGUGGUCAGAUUUGGGAUAUGUUUUCAAGUUGACAAAAAUUGUCUUGGGUAAUUCCCAGAAUUUUGAUCUAAGUUGUUGAAUUUGAACAAUUAGGUGAGUCGUGGUGCAUUUGCUGACAGGAAAAGACGGGAGCUAUGGUUUAGAUGAGAAAACUAAGAAUUCUGUUCUAGAAACUAGUUUGAGAUAUUUUUCAGAUACCCAAGUGGAGGCAUUGAUUAGGCAAUGAAGAUAAAUGACUAAAGCUCAGGAGAUGGGUCAGGGCUAGAAAUACCAAUUUGGAAUGGCAAAGCUACAAAAUAGAAGAGGCUUUUGCCUUAGAUGUUGUAAUGCCACCCUAAAAACCCCAUGACUUCUACUUGAAACGUUAUGUGAGAAGAAAGAAUGAUUUUGGAUUAUUUGUGGUCUUAUAGUUACUAAGCUGAUAAUCUAAUUUCCCAAACUGUUUAAUCACUUUAUAUUCAACGAAACUUGAAUUUCCAAAAUUGCUUAAAUCAAGCCCAGAGAACAGCAGUAUCUAGCUUAUUUUCUUGCAGACUCAGGGACAUAGCCAUGAAUAUUUCCUGAUGAUGUGUUCUUAUUAAACUUGCUGGGGUAAAUUGCGUGACAGAAACAACUGUGGUUUCAGUGGGUGCAGCCUUUAUCUGUGGUUGAAAAUGGCUCAUCACAAUGUUGACAUUUGGAACAGUCUGAUGAAAAAAGAGAGGAAAGGAUG
Molecule: long non-coding RNA, 1226 nt
Filed under: Callithrix jacchus (white-tufted-ear marmoset)
Lineage: Eukaryota; Metazoa; Chordata; Mammalia; Primates; Cebidae
Description: lncRNA (ENSCJAG00000079876.1)
Source: RNAcentral